UACAGAGGGUGCAAGCGUUGCUCGGAAUUAUUGGGCGUAAAGGGCAGGUAGGUGGUCUUAUUUGUCUAGGGUGAAAUCCCGGAGCUUAACUUCGGAAGUGCCUUAGAAACGGUAAGACUAGAGUCCUAGAGAGGUUUGUGGAAUUCCCGGUGUAGCGGUGAAAUGCGUAGAGAUCGGGAGGAACACCGAUGGCGAAGGCAGGUCUCUGGGCAUUAACUGACGCUGAGGAGCGAAAGCAUGGGGAGCGAACAGG
Molecule: ribosomal RNA, 253 nt
Filed under: uncultured bacterium
Lineage: Bacteria
Description: partial 16S ribosomal RNA
Rfam family: Bacterial small subunit ribosomal RNA
Source: RNAcentral